UGCCAGCCGCCGCGGUAAUACGGAGGGGGUUAGCGUUGUUCGGAAUCACUGGGCGUAAAGCGCGCGUAGGCGGUCUGCAUAGUCAGGCGUGAAAGCCCCGGGCUCAACCUGGGAACUGCGCUUGAUACUAGUAGACUAGAGUCCGGGAGAGGGUAGUGGAAUUCCCAGUGUAGAGGUGAAAUUCGUAGAUAUUCGGAGGAACACCAGUGGCGAAGGCGGCUAACUGGCUCGGUACUGACGCUGAGAUGCGAAAGCGUGGGGAGCAAACAGGAUUAGAUA
This 279-nucleotide ribosomal RNA is filed under the name uncultured bacterium. Its description in RNAcentral is "partial 16S ribosomal RNA". It matches the Rfam family "Bacterial small subunit ribosomal RNA", at positions 506 to 784 of the family's 1533-position model. The record is from RNAcentral.